AUUGAACGCUGGCGGCAUGCUUUACACAUGCAAGUCGAACGGUAACAGGGUGCUUGCACCGCUGACGAGUGGCGAACGGGUGAGUAAUGCGUCGGAACGUGCCGAGUAGUGGGGGAUAACGCAGCGAAAGUUGUGCUAAUACCGCAUACGUACUGAGGUAGAAAGUGGGGGACCUUCGGGCCUCACGCUAUUCGAGCGGCCGACGUCUGAUUAGCUAGUAGGUGGGGUAAAGGCUCACCGAGGCGACGAUCAGAAGCGGGUCUGAGAGGAUGAUCCGCCACACUGGGACUGAGACACGGCCCAGACUCCUACGGGAGGCAGCAGUGGGGAAUUUUGGACAAUGGGCGAAAGCCUGAUCCAGCCAUGCCGCGUGUCUGAAGAAGGCCUUCGGGUUGUAAAGGACUUUUGUCAGGGAGGAAAUCCCUAGUGCUAAUAACACUGGGGGAUGACAGUACCUGAAGAGUAAGCACCGGCUAACUACGUGCCAGCCGCCGCCGUAA
This 500-nucleotide ribosomal RNA is filed under the name uncultured bacterium. RNAcentral describes it as "partial 16S ribosomal RNA". It matches the Rfam family "Bacterial small subunit ribosomal RNA", at positions 30 to 523 of the family's 1533-position model. The record is from RNAcentral.